RNAcentral lists this ribosomal RNA (493 nucleotides) under uncultured bacterium. RNAcentral's name for it is "partial 16S ribosomal RNA". It matches the Rfam family "Bacterial small subunit ribosomal RNA", at positions 30 to 523 of the family's 1533-position model. The record is from RNAcentral.
AUUGAACGCCGGCGGCAUGCCUUACACAUGCAAGUCGAACGGUAACAGGUUAAGCUGACGAGUGGCGAACGGGUGAGUAAUAUAUCGGAACGUGCCCGGUCGUGGGGGAUAACUGCUCGAAAGAGCAGCUAAUACCGCAUACGACCUGAGGGUGAAAGCGGGGGAUCGCAAGACCUCGCGCGAUUGGAGCGGCCGAUAUCAGAUUAGCUAGUUGGUGGGGUAAAAGCCUACCAAGGCAACGAUCUGUAGCUGGUCUGAGAGGACAACCAGCCACACUGGGACUGAGACACGGCCCAGACUCCUACGGGAGGCAGCAGUGGGGAAUUUUGGACAAUGGACGAAAGUCUGAUCCAGCCAUGCCGCGUGCGGGAAGAAGGCCUUCGGGUUGUAAACCGCUUUUGUCAGGGAAGAAAAGGUUCUGGUUAAUACCUGGGACUCAUGACGGUACCUGAAGAAUAAGCACCGGCUAACUACGUGCCAGCCGCCGCCGUAA